AUGGAGCACAAAACUGUCUGGUGUCUCAUCUUCAUACUGAUGACCUUAAAAAGCUGUAGAAGUCAGACACUGACUGAAUCUGAGCCAGUGGUCAUUAAUCCUGGAGGAUCUCACAAACUGACCUGCACAGUCUCUGGAUUUACAAGCAACUACUGGAUGGCUUGGGUCAGACAGGCUGCUGGGAAAGGCCUGGAAUGGGUGGCAUCUAUCAAUGGUAGAGGUGGGAGCCAAUAUUACUCAAGCGCUGUUCAGGGAAGAUUCACCAUCUCCAGAGACAACAACAAGCAGCAGGUGUAUCUGCAGAUGAACAGCCUGAAGACUGAGGACACGGCUGUGUAUUACUGUGCCAGAGAGUCACAGUGGCACAAUAUGCUGCAGAGAUGA
Molecule: non-coding RNA, 384 nt
Organism: Alosa alosa (allis shad)
Lineage: Eukaryota; Metazoa; Chordata; Actinopteri; Clupeiformes; Clupeidae
Source: the annotation of a RefSeq genome assembly